CCUCAAGGGUUUGUUUUAAACUAGUGUGUGAAGGAAUAUGGAGCAGCUCUCACCGGCGAUAUGAAUCUCUCUGCAGGACCACAUCGAGAAACACAUUUUCAUUUAUCGUCAGAUGAUUCAUUGACUCUGGAGCAGAUCGCUUGAGUCCGAAUCUCAGAGCUGCCACCUACCAGCUGUGCAAGCUUGGCCACCGUGACCACUUCAGUUCUUAGUGACUCAGUCUCUCCAUCUGAAAAACAGAGCACGCUUCUUGAGACAUUAUUUUCGUGACUUAUUUUCAGACAGUACUACACAUUCGCCUAGUGAUAGAGGAAAACAAAACGUUUGCAAUCCAGAGAAAAGCUUAGAAAGCAGUUGGAAUUUACUACCAUUCUGACAAAGCUUGAUCGAUUGAGCUCUCCGCUCUGAAAUUAUAUUGACACACUGCUCCUAGCAGGCGUUAUUGGGUUUGUUGUGGAUGCUUUUGUUUUAAGAAAAGAAGAUUAGCCCUGAGCUAACUACUGCCAAUCCUCCUCUUUUUGCUGAGGAAGACUGACUCUGAGCUAACAUCCAUGCCCAUCUUCCUCUACUGUAUAUGUGGGAUGCCUACCGCAGCAUGGUGUGCCAAGCGGUGCCAUGUCUGCACCAGGGAUCUGAACUGGCGAAUCCCGGGCCACCGAGAAGCAGAACGUGCAAACUUAACCACUGCGCCACCGGGCCGGCCCCUGAGCAUUUUCUUUACUAAAGCUGAUUACUGUUUUCCUGCCUACAAAGUAGCCAACCCUACAAUGCAGCAUAGUUAGCCAUAAAAUUAUGAUUUUUAAAAUAAUUACUAUAAAAGUAAUGAUCUCUUUAUCAUAAUUACAUGAACCUCUAUAAACUUCUAAUGUCAGUAUAAUGAUUUUCUUUUCUAUGAAUUUGAAUUUGAUUUAAGUGAGAAACUGAGUAAUACCAUGACUUACAUUUAUGGUUGGGUUUCUUUAGAGUCGUGCUCCCUAAAUGGGCUACUAUUUCCUACUGGUAGGAAGAAGAUACUUGAGUAGAUCGCUCACUGUCUCAGUUUCACACAUGAUGAAACAACUAGAUACUGGGUCUCAAAACUAAAAUAUCAAGGAAGAUCUAGGAUCUUAGAAGAUCCAACUCAGUGUCCAACAUUGGGACGUGAGGCCUGGACUCUGAGCUCCUCUCCGGGGGGUGAAGAGGGGGAGCAGAGCCCACGCUGCGCCUGGAUGGAGCUCAGAGAGGAGAAUGUGUAUCACGUGGUCAGCGUUCAACACCCAGCUCCAGGGAGGUCGGCUUUUGUCUCUCUAGUCUGGAAAUGGCACUAUAUGCACACAGCUGACCAGUCAUAUCCACCUGCCUUUCCCAGCUUGGUGCUCACAGCACUGGUCAACUACGCCCCUCUAUGCAGCCCGUGUUCUAAACCCUUACUGUCCCCAGCUCCCUAGUGCCACGGUCUUUCAUACCUUAGUGCUUUUGAACACACUGUCCCCACUUCCUGGAAGCCCUGGCUCCUGACUCUGCCUGUCAACUUCACCUUUUACUCAUCUUUCAAGCCCCAGCUCAUGUGUCGCCACUUAAGUGAAUGAAACCUUCCCCAGCUCCUCCAGCUAUUUUUUUUUCUUGGUAGGUGGGGAGCAUGGGGUGAUUGGGAAGUUUGAAGAACGGUGGAAAAGAGAACCAGCAUGUUUGGGGCAUGGAAUUUAGUCCUUACUGCCUGUGAGGUGGGUGUAUUUAUCUCUACUUUUCAGAUGAGAGCACAGAGAGUGAUUGAGUUAAGUGGCUUGAUUAGGACUCGGGUGUAUGUGAUUCCAAAGCUCUUCCCAUCCAGUCCCAUCAGGAGACUUGCCCUCAUUUGGGUUCCAGAAGCACAUGAUAGUAUACUGUUUUGGCCCCCACCAGACUUGGUGCCCCUUAGCAGCCAGUCCCUGUUCGUUCUUAUCUGUUCCUGGCAUUUGCCGCGGCAUUUGGCACAUAGGUACUUAGUAGACACGUGCUGAAUGAGUGAAUGAACAAAUGAAGAACGCCCCUAUU
Molecule: long non-coding RNA, 2013 nt
Organism: Equus asinus (donkey)
Lineage: Eukaryota; Metazoa; Chordata; Mammalia; Perissodactyla; Equidae
Source: Ensembl